GGCGGAGUAGCUCAGUCGGUUAGAGCAGCGGAAUCAUAAUCCGCGUGUCGGGGGUUCGAAUCCCUCCUCCGCUACCA
RNAcentral lists this transfer RNA (77 nucleotides) under Novosphingobium sp. PASSN1. RNAcentral's name for it is "tRNA-Met". It matches the Rfam family "tRNA". From Rfam's summary of the family: Transfer RNA (tRNA) molecules are approximately 80 nucleotides in length. The record is from RNAcentral. Lineage: Bacteria; Pseudomonadati; Pseudomonadota; Alphaproteobacteria; Sphingomonadales; Sphingomonadaceae. RNAcentral also lists the same sequence under 2 other names.